GGAUGAGGAAGAAGGGGUAAGUUCAGUCACUAGUGUUUCUGUGGCUGAAACCCUUGUUGAGAAUUUGGGGUGUGAGGGACAACCGGAUGAGGUUUAUAAUGUAGAAGAUGGUGGGGAGAUAAUGGUUGAGGUGGUAGGUUCUGAUGUUUUUGUUGAUGGGGUCUGUGGUGAUGAAUUGGGGCAGCACGGUUCUGGAAAAGUAGAUUCUUUGGAUGAGGAUAGAGAUUUUCGAUCCAGUGAAGCUCGUCAAGAGGAUUAUGGGAAUACUGGAAAUGGGGUUGAGGGGGUAUUUGAAGUUGCAGGGUCAUCCAGGGAUGUUGCCGUGGCAGCUGGUACUGAGAUUGUUUCAGGUGUAACGGCUUUUUCUGUAGUAGAGGAAGUCAACCUCAGUGUUAGUGAGGAGGAUGUUGAGGCUAGUAAUGUCGUCAUGAGCAGUAAAUCUGCUGCGUCUGCUUAUUUGGCUUCAGUUGAUGUUGCAGGGUUGUUCAGGGGUGUUUCUGAGACAGUGGACAAUGAGUCUGAUUCCAGGUUGCCUAGUGAAACAACUGAUAGAGUUUUAGAGCUGGUUAGCUCCAGAGUUAGAGAGGAGGAUGCUGAAGGGAAUGUUGGUAGGAGCGCUGUAUCUGUUGAGGGGAGUGCUGAAUUGACAUCGCAAAGACUGGAUAUUUCUGAUGAUGGGGUGUGGAAUCCUGGAAUUGAACCUCUGGCUGAAUCUUCUUCAUUUGUGCCGCAGGAGAAUUCAAAUCGUGAAACUGAAGAGGCUAACAAUCUUAGAUUGGAUUCUUCUGAAAAAGAUCAAAGUUCAGUCAGAGAGAUAAUUGGUCAGGCUAGUGAAAAAGAUAUUUCUAGUCAUGCAAGGAAUCAGAUAACAGACAAUCCAGAUGAAGGAGCUGUGUCAGGGGACAGUGGUGUGUUAGGGAAAUCACAUUCAGAAGUUGUAACUAUAGAAACCAAUGCACAUGAUCAGGAUAGAGAUGCCUUGGGGGACAAGGAUGAGAAUACACAUUCAGAAGUUGAAUCCAUGGAGACUGAUGUACUUGAGCAGAGAGAUGACAUGGGCAACAAUGAUGAGGAUUCACAUCAGGACAAUGAGUUGGUACACAAAAGACAUUCAGAAGCUGAAACCAUGGAAACUGAUGUCCAUGAUAAGGAGGCAGUUGGCUUGGGCAUUGAGAAUGCGAAUUCACAUUCUGAUGUCGAACCUAUGGAAACUGAUGUUUAUGAUCAAGAAGGUGGAGUGCUUUUCAAGGAUACAAAUAACAAUUCGAAUGCAGUGGUUGAACUCCCGGAGAAAAUUAACCAUGAAGAUGAUCAAAUAAUUAACAUGUGCCAUCAGGUUCCUGCAGGUCAUGAUAAUUUGGGUGUAGAUAUACCAGUGUCUCAAGAUUCUGCUAGAGAUUGUGCUGAUGAAAUGGUUUCUUU
This 1422-nucleotide unclassified non-coding RNA is filed under the name Hevea brasiliensis (rubber tree). The record is from RNAcentral. Lineage: Eukaryota; Viridiplantae; Streptophyta; Magnoliopsida; Malpighiales; Euphorbiaceae.